GAAUUCGCCCUUAGAGUUUGAUCCUGGCUCAGGAUAAACGCUGGCGGCGCACAUAAGACAUGCAAGUCGAACGGAAGUCGUUAUAAAAUAGAUUGAAGAUUUAUCUGAUUGAAGUUUUAUAACAAUGAUUUUAGUGGCGGACUGGUGAGUAACGCGUGAGCAACCUGCCUACUAGAGGGGAAUAACAGUGAGAAAUCAUUGCUAAUACCGCAUAUGCCGUGAACAUCACAUGAUGAAAACGGGAAAGGAGCAAUUCGCUAGUAGAUGGGCUCGCGUCUGAUUAGAUAGUUGGUGGGGUAACGGCCUACCAAGUCAACGAUCAGUAGCCGGACUGAGAGGUUGAACGGCCACAUUGGGACUGAGAUACGGCCCAGACUCCUACGGGAGGCAGCAGUCGGGAAUAUUGCGCAAUGGAGGAAACUCUGACGCAGUGACGCCGCGUAUAGGAAGAAGGUUUUCGGAUUGUAAACUAUUGUCGUUAGGGAAGAUACAAGACAGUACCUAAGGAGGAAGCUCCGGCUAACUACGUGCCAGCAGCCGCGGUAAUACGUAGGGAGCAAGCGUUAUCCGGAUUUAUUGGGUGUAAAGGGUGCGUAGACGGGACAACAAGUUAGUUGUGAAAUCCCUCGGCUCAACUGAGGAACUGCAACUAAAACUAUUGUUCUUGAGUGUUGGAGAGGAAAGUGGAAUUCCUAGUGUAGCGGUGAAAUGCGUAGAUAUUAGGAGGAACACCGGUGGCGAAGGCGACUUUCUGGACAAUAACUGACGUUGAGGCACGAAAGUGUGGGGAGCAAACAGGAUUAGAUACCCUGGUAGUCCACACCGUAA
This 828-nucleotide ribosomal RNA is filed under the name uncultured bacterium. Its description in RNAcentral is "bacterial SSU rRNA". It matches the Rfam family "Bacterial small subunit ribosomal RNA", at positions 1 to 805 of the family's 1533-position model. The record is from RNAcentral.